Phascolarctos cinereus (koala) is the source of this 491-nucleotide non-coding RNA. NCBI's taxonomy places the organism in Eukaryota, Metazoa, Chordata, Mammalia, Diprotodontia, Phascolarctidae. The record is from the annotation of a RefSeq genome assembly.
GUACCUGUAUGUGCAGGAGACAAGCUCAAGCUCUUUGUGUCAUUAGACGCAGAGGACUAACCUAGGAACUCAGCAUGAAAUUUAAGCUGAAUUGGAUUUUCCUUCUGACUAUUUUCCAAGGUGUCCAGUGUGAUGUGCAGUUGGUGGAAUCUGGGGGAGAUGUGAGACAGCCUGGAGGAUCUCUGCAACUCUCCUGUAAAGUUUCUGGAUUUACUUUCAGUGACUACUACAUGGAUUGGGUCCGCCAGGCUCCAGGGAAGGGACUGGAAUGGGUUGCUGGAAUUAGUGAUAGUGGUGAUACAUACUAUGCAGACUCUGUGAAAGGUCGAUUCACCAUCUCCAGAGAUGAUGGCAACAGCAUGUUAUAUCUACAGAUAACUUCCCUUAAGACUGAGGAUACAGCUGUUUAUUACUGUACGAGAGACACAGUGAGGAAAAGGAAUGUGAGACCAGACAGAAACUGCCCCUGCCAGGUGGUGAGAUAUCAGUGA